GCCCGGAUGGCGGAAUGGUUUACGCGCAACACUUAAAAUGUUGUGCCGAAAGGCAUGAGGGUUCGACUCCCUCUCCGGGCACCA
This 84-nucleotide transfer RNA is filed under the name Parcubacteria group bacterium RIFCSPHIGHO2_01_FULL_47_10b. RNAcentral's name for it is "tRNA-Leu". It matches the Rfam family "tRNA". Rfam says of the family: Transfer RNA (tRNA) molecules are approximately 80 nucleotides in length. The record is from RNAcentral.